Molecule: ribosomal RNA, 395 nt
Filed under: uncultured bacterium
Lineage: Bacteria
Description: partial 16S ribosomal RNA
Rfam family: Bacterial small subunit ribosomal RNA
Source: RNAcentral
AUACGUAGGGAGCGAGCGUUGUCCGGAAUUACUGGGUGUAAAGGGAGCGUAGGCGGGAGUGCAAGUCAGAUGUGAAGUACAUGGGCUCAACCCAUGGGCUGCAUUUGAAACUGCAUUUCUUGAGUGAAGUAGAGGUAAGCGGAAUUCCUGGUGUAGCGGUGAAAUGCGUAGAUAUCAGGAGGAACACCGGUGGCGAAGGCGGCUUACUGGGCUUUUACUGACGCUGAGGCUCGAAAGCGUGGGGAGCAAACAGGAUUAGAUACCCUGGUAGUCCACGCUGUAAACGAUGAUUACUAGGUGUGGGGGGACUGACCCCUUCCGUGCCGCAGUUAACACAAUAAGUAAUCCACCUGGGGAGUACGGCCGCAAGGUUGAAACUCAAAUGAAUUGACGGG